Molecule: ribosomal RNA, 488 nt
Filed under: uncultured bacterium
Lineage: Bacteria
Description: partial 16S ribosomal RNA
Rfam family: Bacterial small subunit ribosomal RNA
Source: RNAcentral
AUUGAACGCUGGCGGCAGGCUUAACACAUGCAAGUCGAGCGGGGACUUCGGUCCUAGCGGCGAACGGGUGAGGAAUGCUUGGGAAUCUGCCCAGUAGCGGGGGAUAACGUUUCGAAAGGAACGCUAAUACCGCAUACGCCCUACGGGGGAAAGGGGGGGAUCUUCGGACCUCUCACUAUUGGAUGAGCCCAAGUCGGAUUAGCUAGUUGGUGGGGUAAAGGCCUACCAAGGCGACGAUCCGUAGCUGGUCUGAGAGGAUGAUCAGCCACACUGGAACUGGGACACGGUCCAGACUCCUACGGGAGGCAGCAGUGGGGAAUUUUGGACAAUGGGCGAAAGCCUGAUCCAGCCAUGCCGCGUGUGUGAAGAAGGCCUUCGGGUUGUAAAGCACUUUAAGCGAGGAGGAAUGGCUCUUGGUUAAUAACCUUGAGCAGUGACGUUACUCGCAGAAUAAGCACCGGCUAACUCUGUGCCAGCCGCCGCGGUAA